This 497-nucleotide ribosomal RNA is filed under the name uncultured bacterium. Its description in RNAcentral is "partial 16S ribosomal RNA". It matches the Rfam family "Bacterial small subunit ribosomal RNA", at positions 28 to 507 of the family's 1533-position model. The record is from RNAcentral.
GACGAACGCUGGCGGCGUGCCUAAUACAUGCAAGUAGAACGCUGAAGGAAGGAGCUUGCUCUUUCUGGAUGAGUUGCACACGGGUGAGUAGCGCGUAGGUAACCUGCCUGGUAGCGGGGGAUAACUAUUGGAAACGAUAGCUAAUACCGCAUAAAAUUGAUUAUUGCAUGAUAGUCAAUUAAAAGGUGCAACUGCACCACUACCAGAUGGACCUGCGUUGUAUUAGCUAGUUGGUGGGGUAACGGCGCACCAAGGCGACGAUACAUAGCCGACCUGAGAGGGUGAUCGGCCACACUGGGACUGAGACACGGCCCAGACGCCUUCGGGAGGCAGCAGUAGGGAAUCUUCGGCAAGGGACGGAAGACUGACCGAGCAACGCCGCGGGAGGGAAGAAGAGUGUCGGAUCGUAAAGCUCGGUUGUAAGAGAAGAACGAGUGUGAGAGUGGAAAGUUCACACUGUGACGGUAUCUUACCAGAAAGGGACGGCUAACUACGUG